RNAcentral lists this ribosomal RNA (253 nucleotides) under uncultured bacterium. RNAcentral describes it as "partial 16S ribosomal RNA". It matches the Rfam family "Bacterial small subunit ribosomal RNA", at positions 524 to 776 of the family's 1533-position model. The record is from RNAcentral.
UACGAAGGGUGCAAACGUUGCUCGGAAUCAUUGGGCGUAAAGCGCACGUAGGCGGCUUGCCAAGUCGGACGUGAAAUCCCUCAGCUCAACUGAGGACGUGCAUCCGAAACUGGCGAGCUUGAGUACUGAAGAGGAUCGCGGAAUUCCCGGUGUAGAGGUGAAAUUCGUAGAUAUCGGGAGGAACACCAGUGGCGAAAGCGGCGCACUGGACCACAACUGACGCUGAGGCGCGAAAGCUAGGGGAGCAAACAGG